CUACAACAGAACCGUCACGGUUCCCCGCACGGGCAAAGCCCAGGGGAUGAAACGGGAAUGCGGUGCGGGACGACUCACCCCGAGGUCCCAAGUCCGCAGCUGCCCCCGCAACUGUCAGCGGCGAGCCCUGCCGCAGCAUGCCACUGGCGCCUUUGAACGCGAGGCGCCGGGAAGGCGCGGCGAAGGGCGACGACCCGCGAGCCAGGAGACCGGCCGCGACGCGACGCAACCC
Molecule: non-coding RNA, 232 nt
Filed under: Polymorphum gilvum
Lineage: Bacteria; Pseudomonadati; Pseudomonadota; Alphaproteobacteria; Rhodobacterales; Paracoccaceae
Also listed under: 1 other name
Source: RNAcentral